This 27-nucleotide non-coding RNA is filed under the name Rattus norvegicus (Norway rat). The record is from RNAcentral. Lineage: Eukaryota; Metazoa; Chordata; Mammalia; Rodentia; Muridae.
UAGGUCCAUUAUCCACUGCCUUGGUGU